Molecule: long non-coding RNA, 191 nt
Organism: Branchiostoma floridae (Florida lancelet)
Lineage: Eukaryota; Metazoa; Chordata; Leptocardii; Amphioxiformes; Branchiostomatidae
Exons: 2
Source: RefSeq, a predicted model, not a curated record
CUGAGUCGUGUGGAGCUGCACAAGUGGGGGAGUUUGGUGAGCGGCAGCAGGGACGGACAGGUCCUGGACAACAUGGUCAUCGACCUGUAGGGCAGUGACCUGGUGACGUCACGCAGCGUCGUCUUACCAAUGGUGGAAGAGGACUUCACCAUGCUUUAUGUGAUAGGAGGAAAUAAAUCAUUCCAAACAGG